Molecule: ribosomal RNA, 384 nt
Filed under: uncultured bacterium
Lineage: Bacteria
Description: bacterial SSU rRNA
Rfam family: Bacterial small subunit ribosomal RNA
Source: RNAcentral
GACGAACGCUGGCGGCGUGCUUAACACAUGCAAGUCGAGCGGUAAGGCCCUUUCGGGGGUACACGAGCGGCGAACGGGUGAGUAACACGUGGGUGACCUGCCCUCAGCUCUGGGAUAAGCCUGGGAAACCGGGUCUAAUACUGGAUAUGACUCCAUGACGCAUGUUGUGGGGUGGAAAGCCUUGUGCGGCUGAGGAUGGGCCCGCGGCCUAUCAGCUUGUUGGUGGGGUGANGGCCUACCAAGGCGACGACGGGUAGCCGGCCUGAGAGGGCGACCGGCCACACUGGGACUGAGACACGGCCCAGACUCCUACGGGAGGGCAGCAGUGGGGAAUCUUGCGCAAUGGGCGAAAGCCUGACGCAGCGACGCCGCGUGAGGGAUGAC